AUACGUAGGGGGCGAGCGUUGUCCGGAAUGAUUGGGCGUAAAGGGCGCGUAGGCGGCCCGGUAAGUCUGGAGUGAAAGUCCUGUUUUUAAGAUGGGAAUUGCUUUGGAUACUGUCGGGCUUGAGUGCAGGAGAGGUAAGUGGAAUUCCCAGAGUAGCGGUGAAAUGCGUAGAGAUUGGGAGGAACACCAGUGGCGAAGGCGACUUACUGGACUGUAACUGACGCUGAGGCGCGAAAGUGUGGGGAGCAAACAGGAUUAGAUACCCUGGUAGUCCACACUGUAAACGAUGAAUGCUAGGUGUAGGGGGUAUCGACCCCUUCUGUGCCGCAGUCAACACAAUAAGCAUUCCGCCUGGGGAGUACGGCCGCAAGGUUGAAACUCAAAGGAAUUGACGGGG
This 397-nucleotide ribosomal RNA is filed under the name uncultured bacterium. RNAcentral describes it as "partial 16S ribosomal RNA". It matches the Rfam family "Bacterial small subunit ribosomal RNA", at positions 523 to 918 of the family's 1533-position model. The record is from RNAcentral.